UACGUAGGGUGCGAGCGUUGUCCGGAAUUACUGGGCGUAAAGGGCUUGUAGGUGGUUUGUCGCGUUGUUCGUGAAAACUCACAGCUUAACUGUGGGCGUGCGGGCGAUACGGGCAGACUGGAGUACUGCAGGGGAGACUGGAAUUCCUGGUGUAGCGGUGGAAUGCGCAGAUAUCAGGAGGAACACCGGUGGCGAAGGCGGGUCUCUGGGCAGUAACUGACGCUGAGGUGCGAAAGCGUGGGGAGCGACCAGG
Molecule: ribosomal RNA, 253 nt
Filed under: uncultured bacterium
Lineage: Bacteria
Description: partial 16S ribosomal RNA
Rfam family: Bacterial small subunit ribosomal RNA
Source: RNAcentral